This 266-nucleotide long non-coding RNA is filed under the name Lathyrus oleraceus (garden pea). RNAcentral describes it as "Pisum sativum (pea) long non-coding RNA (PSAT_LNC022473)". The record is from RNAcentral. Lineage: Eukaryota; Viridiplantae; Streptophyta; Magnoliopsida; Fabales; Fabaceae.
UUCAACCUUCUUCUCCUGCUCUUCCUCUUUGCCCUUUUCUCACUUUCUUCCCUUUUCUCCCAAUGUUACGUGUUCUCUGUUUUCACGUAAAACCCUUUUUACCAAAUGGGACCUUAUAUAUAUAUUCCAACUUUAUUAUUCCAAUAAUAAUAAUAAUUCCAAAUAAUAUUCCAAUAAUAAUCUAAUUAUUUAAUUAAAUUAAUAAAUAUACUAUUAACUUAAUUUAAAUAAUUAUCAUAUUUUAUCGGGGUGUUACAACUCUCCCC